AGUUAGUUCGAUCUUUUAACUUGAUGUUUAUUUUUAAAGAUUCGCAAGGAGCUACCAAGAAACUCAAAGUAAAGGUUAAGGAUAUGAUGUAUUUAUCCGACGGAAAAUGUAUUGUGGUUGAAUUUGAUGAUAUGGAUCAGCCAAUUGGAGAAGGGCAAGGUGUUCUUGCAGGCUUUUGUGGAAUUUUAGCAACCGACUGCUCCUUAUUUCCAAUUCACUUCAACAAAUGGCCAGAUUUACCUAAGUCAUACUUCAAUUGUUGCUUUGAUCAAAUUAUAAAGAUAUAAGCUCUAUUUUCUUAUUGUUGUAACUCUGUUUUAUGUCGUUAGACUGUAUAUUUGUAUGUAAUAAAUUAGCUAACAGAAGUUUUAUUCCUGUAGCCACGAUUCUGUUUUAAGACAACUGAGUUAAAUGCACGAGCAUAUGUUUAUAGUUCUAUUGGAAAGAAGUGGAGUUCAGGAAGGCAAAGGUUGUGGUAUGAGUUCAAUGACCCACUUAAGACCAAAGCAUCAGGGAUUCCACGGGAUCAAUGGACUUCUUAUGUUGCUUACCAUUUUAAUGAAAAGACAAUGGUAUUUAUUUGAAUGCUUCAAUUAGUAUGUGUAAUUAUAUACUUUUUUAUUUGUAUAUUUGAGUUAUGUGUAUUUUUAUGAGGAAAUGAGUAAAAGAAAUGCUGAAAUUCGGAAGAAACAAACUGUUGCACACACUGGUGGUUCCAAACCAAACUCCAGAAGAAGAGCUGAAAUGAUGGCUGAAUCUGGACAAAACCCUGGACGAGGCAACUCUAUCUUGCUACUCAUAAGAAGGAAGAUGGGUCAUAUGUUAAUGAAGCAGCAAGAGAAAUAUGUGAAAAAAUUGAGCUAGUUGUAAGUCAAAGCGCCACAGAUGAGUCUGAAGUUUCACCAAAUGAUGCCGUUGGUAAGGUGCUAGGAAAAGAGCAUUCUGGAAGGGUAAGGUGCUUGGGUUAGGAGCUAUCCCGAGUAAAGUUUUUAGACAAACAAGACGUCAUUUUGGAGGUAUAAAUUCUUCUAGUUGUGAUAAUGGUUCAUGUUCGUCCAAAUGCGAAGAGAAGUACAAUCAGAUUGUAAAUGCUCACAAUCAAAGCCAAGAGAAGUACAAUCAGAUUGUAAAUGCUCACAAUCAAAGCCAAGAGAACUAUGCUCAAAUGAUGACUGCACACCUCCAAAUGAUGAAUGCUUUCAAGACAUAUAUGAUUAUGAAAGAAGGGACAAUACCUGAACAGUUUGCUGGGAUUUUCGUUUCUCCUUCGGCAGCGCCAAGUGAUGCAGCUAGCGGAUCCAUUUCACCUAUGGGCGUAAGAGGAUCAUCUAUUGAUAGUAAUCUUAAUGAAAAUCAUUGAAUUUCUUUGCAAAUGUAGUAGAUGAUUAAGUAUGAUACUUUACUUGAAUGGUUGAACUAGAUAUUUUGUUUUUAAGUUUAGUUUUUGAGAUUAAUGACAAUACUAUCUACUUAUGAUUCUAUAAUAUGUGGAUGUUACUUAA
Nicotiana attenuata is the source of this 1502-nucleotide long non-coding RNA. RefSeq lists it as uncharacterized. The record is from RefSeq and is a predicted model, not a curated record. The transcript has 4 exons. NCBI's taxonomy places the organism in Eukaryota, Viridiplantae, Streptophyta, Magnoliopsida, Solanales, Solanaceae.